Small nucleolar RNA from Erinaceus europaeus (western European hedgehog), 128 nucleotides. Lineage: Eukaryota; Metazoa; Chordata; Mammalia; Eulipotyphla; Erinaceidae. The record is from Ensembl.
AUGCAUGUUUUAUUGUCUUUUCUUUACAUGCCAUGAAAAAGGGUAUUUAUGAUGUGCUAAAUAAUUCUUUGACUGUAAGCUAGCAGCAUAACUAAUUAGCUAUCCCUAUCAGUAUCCUUCAGAGAAAU